This 1578-nucleotide ribosomal RNA is filed under the name Triticum aestivum (bread wheat). RNAcentral describes it as "partial small subunit ribosomal RNA". Lineage: Eukaryota; Viridiplantae; Streptophyta; Magnoliopsida; Poales; Poaceae. The record is from RNAcentral.
CUGUCACCGUCUGCCUCGGCCGUAAGAGCCGGUCCUUUAAUUCACUCACUCCUAUCUAUCGCGCUGUUUCGCGGUGGUUUGUGUGUUCGUGUCGCCUGCCGGGUCGAAACGCUGGUGCUACUCCCGAGAGGGGUACCGGCAGUCGGCGCCUCGGCAGCGGACGCGGUGGGGCCGGCGGCGGCGGCGUCGGCAGGGGGCCUCUAGGUACGAGGAGAGGUGGCGACGGCGUCCGCGUCGGGACGUCAGGCUGGGGUAGUCCGACUACUCGUGCGGGUUCGAGUUCGAGGCGCGGAGGCGGCCGCGGCGCGUCCGGCGCCGGUGGAGGAAGAGGUCGUUACUGCUCCGGAAGUGGACCCGGUUCUUCCUGUUGGCCUCCGAGGAGGUGCAGCAGAUGGCGCAGCCGCUGUAGUUGUUUUGGUAGUUCAAGAUAUGUCUCACGGAGCCGUACUUCGACGACUCCUUCGCACUGUAUGGGCUUCUCUUCAUGUGGUUACGGAAGGAGCCUAUGCCGGGGCUCCUCUGGUUGAAACGGUAGCUCGAGUGGAUGUUGAUGCCCCAACUGAGCAUGCUACAGCCUCGCCCCAAGCCAGUAAAGCCGUAGCGUUGACUACUACACCGGUUUUGUCAACUUGAGUAUUCCCGUUUCCCUCCGUUCCACUGAUCCCUCGGACCGGGACAGUUCCCACCGUUCUGGCACUAACGCAAAUAGCUUCUGGGACUGCCUAUGUUCAAGCUCUAGGAUCUCUCCGGUCCCUGAGGUCUCGGUGAUACGGUUCACUACGAAGCACAGCCACUAGAGCUGGCUCGGUAUUCGAAGAUGCUCUUCCGAACACCAUACUUUGAUGAGGCCUUCGCUCUGUUGGGACUUAUGUUCAUAUGCCACCGGUACUACCCCAUGCCUGGACUUCUGGUCUUACGGCAAGACCUCAACUGGAUGUUGAUACCACAGUGACUUAUACUGUUCCCCUUACGUAUACGUGUCUAGCGCUAUCCGUGGCUGCUACAGAUGUUCUGGCGGCUCCACCACUUCGAUAGGCCUCCCUUUCACCACGCCCUCCGUCCAGGGAACGGCCCCGAGCCGUGGUUCUAGUGUCGGUAGGACCUGGGACUACCCACCUUUAGCCACAAACAACUGUUGUAACUGAAACGGUUUCUUGACCUCAUUGGUACAUGUCGAAAAAAAAACGCCCAUUGGUACAUGUUGAAACUGAAACCUUUCUUGGCAUUUGUAGUUGAGAAAUGGGAAAAUGGUAAAAACAUUUGUACUCGCGUAUCCGAAACCCUCUUAAAAAAUAGAGACUUAUUGCUGUGUGCCUCCUCUCCUGUUGCUCUCGGUUGAGGUUAACAUACCUACGGUAAAGGGUACCUCUUCAAGUUUAAAAUACCCCUUUAAACUCGUUCAAACUUUACAUCGAGUCUUCUUACACAAGCCGGUCUGGCAUUUUUUGUUAUACUAGGUCCUAGUAUUUGCUAUACGGGCGGAGGUAUCACAUAUCGUUCAGGAUUUUACCAUGAAUACACUAAAAAUUAUGGUUGGUAAUUCCUCGCUUACAUCCAUAAUCACCAUGUACAUGAGGG